RNAcentral lists this transfer RNA (72 nucleotides) under bacterium. RNAcentral's name for it is "tRNA-His". It matches the Rfam family "tRNA". Rfam says of the family: Transfer RNA (tRNA) molecules are approximately 80 nucleotides in length. Their secondary structure includes four short double-helical elements and three loops (D, anti-codon, and T loops). The record is from RNAcentral.
GAGGCCGUAGCUCAAUGGCAGAGCACCAGAUUGUGGAUCUGGCGGUUGCGGGUUCAACUCCCGUCGGUCUCC